RNAcentral lists this transfer RNA (50 nucleotides) under Dryopteris intermedia subsp. maderensis. Its description in RNAcentral is "partial transfer RNA-Phe". The stretch from base 11 to 50 matches the Rfam family "tRNA", at positions 1 to 39 of the family's 71-position model. Rfam says of the family: Transfer RNA (tRNA) molecules are approximately 80 nucleotides in length. Their secondary structure includes four short double-helical elements and three loops (D, anti-codon, and T loops). The record is from RNAcentral. Lineage: Eukaryota; Viridiplantae; Streptophyta; Polypodiopsida; Polypodiales; Dryopteridaceae.
GGCCGAGAUAGCCGAGAUAGCUCAGUCGGUAGAGCAGAGGACUGAAAAUC